This is an RNA transcript of Hevea brasiliensis (rubber tree), 4263 nucleotides long. It is a transcript of the gene named putative pentatricopeptide repeat-containing protein At1g77010, mitochondrial, with no coding region annotated. Lineage: Eukaryota; Viridiplantae; Streptophyta; Magnoliopsida; Malpighiales; Euphorbiaceae. The record is from RefSeq and is a predicted model, not a curated record. The transcript is spliced from 2 exons.
UGGUAGCAUAUCAUAAUUUUGUGAUCCGUGGCCGCUUCUGUGACCUGAGUGCGCGUUUCAUUAUAUAACAACAACGAAAAGAAAAAUGGAUAAAAUUUGACUUCAUUCUCUGUUGCUAUGGAUCUUCAGCUCCAAUAUUUCGCUCGCUUACUGCAAUCUCUUAACACCCACCGUUCAAUCCACCUAGGAAAACAGCUCCACCUUCUCUUCUUCAAAAAGGGUUUCAUAAAUUCCAAUCUUUCACUGGCAAAUCGCCUUCUGCAGAUGUACGCCCGGUGUGGCUGCAUGGGCGAUGCACAUAACUUGUUCUAUGAAAUGCGCCAUAGAAACUACUUUUCUUGGAACACCAUGAUAGAGGGCUACAUGAAGUUUGGAAACAAAGAAAAUUCGCUAGAGCUGUUUGAUUUGAUGCCCCACAAAGAUGAUUAUUCGUGGAAUGUGGUCAUUUCGGGGUUUGUGAAAGCUUGUGAGUUCGACAUUGCUAGGAGGUUGUUUAAUGAGAUGCCUAGGAGAAAUGGGUUUGCGUGGAAUUCGAUGAUUCAUGGUUAUGCUCGGAAUGGGUAUUCAAGAGAAGCUGUUAGGCUGUUUAAGGAUUUGAAUUUGAGACCGUCGGAAAAAUCAUGUGGUGAUACGUUUGUAUUCGCUACUGUUAUUGGUGCUUGUACUGAUUUGGAAGCUAUCGAAUGUGGUAAGCAAAUCCAUGCCCGGAUUCUAAUUGAUGACAUGGAAUUUGACUCAGUAUUGGCUAGUUCACUGAUUAAUUUUUAUGGAAAGUGCGGUGAUUUAGAUAGUGCAAAUUAUGUUUUGAAUAUGAUGAAGGAGGUGGAUGACUUUUCUUUGUCAGCUCUCAUCACUGGCUAUGCAAAUUAUGGUAGAAUGAAUGAUGCUAGAAGAAUAUUUGAUAGAAAAAGUAAUCCAUGUAUUGUGGUAUGGAAUUCAUUGAUUUCUGGAUAUGUUAACAAUAAUGAAGAAAUGAAAGCAUUUGCACUCUUCAAUGAGAUGCAGAAAAAUGGAAUUCGGGUAGACUCCUCCACAAUAGCAAUUAUCUUGAGUUCCUGCAAUACCCUUGGGAAUUCACAACACGGUAAACAAAUGCAUGCCUAUGCUUGUAAAGUUGGAUUAGUUGAUGACAUUAUUGUUGCUUCUGCUUUUAUUGAUGCAUAUUCCAAGUGUGGAAGUCCUCAUGAUGCUUGCAAGUUAUUCAGUGAGCUCAAAGCCAAUGAUACAAUCUUACUCAACUCUAUGAUCACAGUGUACAGCAAUUGUGGUAGAAUUGAAGAUGCAAAACAGAUCUUUAAAACAAUGCCAAGUAAAAGCCUGAUAUCAUGGAAUUCAAUGGUUGUUGGUCUUGCCCAAAAUGGUUGUGCAGUUGAAGCAUUGGAUCUUUUUUGCAAAAUGAAUAAACUGGAUUUGAGGAUUGAGAAGUUUAGCCUUGCUAGUGUGAUCAGUGCCUGUGCUGGUAUGCCUUCACUUGAACUGGGUGAACAGGUUUUUGCAAGGGCAAUUAUCGUUGGGCUUGAAUCUGAUCAGGUUGUUUCCACCUCCCUUGUUGAUUAUUACUGCAAAUGUGGUUUGGUUGAAAAUGGAAGAAAGCUAUUUGAUACAAUCAUCAAAUCUGAUGAAGUCUCUUGGAAUUCAAUGUUGAUGGGAUAUGCUACAAAUGGUUAUGGAUUGGAAGCACUAACACUGUUCAAUAAAAUGAAGCAUGCUGGUGUGAAACCAACUGAUAUUACAUUUACUGCGGUUUUAUCUGCCUGUAACCAUUGUGGCUUGGUUGAGGAGGGACAGAAAUGGUUUAAGAUUAUGAAAUAUGACUAUCACAUUGAUCCAGGAAUUGAGCACUAUUCAUGCAUGAUUGAUCUUUUUGCUCGUGCUGGUUACCUUCAGGAAGCAAAUAAUCUUAUUGAGAAUAUGCCCUUUGUUGCAGAUGCCAGCAUGUGGUCAUCUUUGUUGAGGGGUUGUGUGGCUCAUGGAGAUAAGGAACUUGGAGAAAAGGUGGCACGGCGAAUCAUUGUGCUUGAUCCUGAGAGCUCCAAUGCAUAUGUGCAACUAUCUGGCUUAUUUGCUACCUCUGGGGACUGGGAAAGCUCAGCCCUUGUUAGAAAGGUAAUGAUAGAAAAGCAAGUAAAAAAGCAUCCUGGUUUCAGUUGGGCUGAUUGAACAAGAUAUUUGGAAGGUGAGCAAUUACAGGACUUGGAUCUUCAUGAGGAGAAAUCAUGUUUUUCCUUCCAGUUUUUGCUGAUAUCUCUAUGGGUUUGAUCACAGUCCAUCAAAUUUAAAUUUCAAGAGAUUAUGCCAUUUUUGGGUACACAUAGUUCUGCAGUUGCUCCUUCAUCAUGUCAAGAUUCCUCAACAAAGCUUGGUAUUAUGAUGCAGACCUCUUAAUUCUCCUUCCUCCCUCGUGCCUUUUUUUCCUCCUUUUUUACCUGUGUUUAUGUUACUCCUAUGUAUGCAUGUUUAAGGUAUUGCAUUUGGGGACAAGUGGGGCUUUCUUUCAGUGAUUAGGUACAUCCGAGAAUUCCGAAUGAUAGCUUACUACUUUAGGCUAAUUGGAGAUUCUACCGUCCUUCCAACCAUUGAGUAAUGUUUAUAUUCAGUGGUUGAACAACUUCACUAUUUUAGGUUUCAUGUGAUGAAACUCCUUAUGCUUUUUGUCAUGUCAGGAGUAGUUGAAUCUCCUGUCCGCCAUCUCAUGUGGGUUGUGCCUGGUAUUCUUUUUGUUAUUAGGAGAAUAGAAAUGGUAUCUGAUCACAACUACUUUAGUUGGCAGUAGGAACUCUCAAAUCGGACUACUCAUGUCUAUUCAGAUUGGAAAAGUAUGACACGUGUAUGCAUCUUGAAGGCCGCUUUAUUUUGGACCAUAUCACCAUGAUUAUGGGGUUGACUCACGAUGGUAGAGUACUUGAAACCCUGGACUUUUUUAAGGACCCGCUAAGUAGAGGCCCACCAGCCAAUCGAAUAACACUAGCUGGGGUUUUAUAGCUUGCAGCUAUGGGGGUUUUUGUUGAAUGAAAGACUAUAUUUUCAUCAAUGCAAGAAAGCUUUGGAGUUGCUUCUGGCAUUGAACAUUAUGCUUGCAUUGUGGACUUUAUGUGUCAUGCUCAUAGGCUUGAUGAAGCAAUGAAUAUAACAGAAGCAAUUCCUUAUGAACCCAAUACUUUAAUUUGGAGAUCGAUACUUUAUGCUUGUGCAACUCAUCUCUACCUUACUUGGUAUUGGCUUGGAUAUACGAGACAAGGGGCCAAUGGGAAGGCAUGGCUAAAGUCAAUAAAACCAUGAAAAGGAAAAAGGUGAAGACAGUGAUCGGAUACAGUUGGAUUGGAUUAAAAAAUCAUGUAUGCUUUCAGGGCCGACGAGUUACAACAUCAUGGAGGCCAAGACAUUUUUAUCUCAUUAAGAUUGCUGAAUUGGGAAAUAGCAUUAUAAAGUGAGUGUUGAGGAGAGUACUCUUCCAUGGUGUUUUAUAAGAUUAUGGAAUGGCAGAUAAUACACGUUCAUCAUAUAGAAUUGUGUGCCUCCGCCAUCUUACUUAACUACUAGCUCAAGAUCAAUUCUUUUGGAUUUCUGGUAUUAAUUAAACUUGCAGUCGCUGCAGUAAUCUAUUACCUGUUGGCAUUUUGUUGGAUGCAAGAUAAAACCAAUACCUGUAAUUACAUGAUAUUGUUGUGUCCUAACUGAUCUCAAUGAUUCAUUUCUGCACAGGUAUUACUGCCAAUUCCUUUUUUGGUAAUUUAGUUUGAUUUAUGUGAAUCACAGAUUAAACUUGAUUGUUGUCCUGAUAAUGAUCUUCUAACGCAUCAUUAACUGUGGGUUUGGAAAACUUGAUAGUGACAGCUCUUCAGGAACUGCUUUGUUUUCUGCCAGAUUGCUUCAAUUCCAAAAUGCUUUCAUCGGUGAAACCUGGAAUGAACCAGAAUCUACUUACUGGUCAAAUUCAUAUAAAGGCCAGGAUUUGGCAUAUUUCAACUGCUGGAUUUUCAAUUCAAUUGCAGGCUUAUCUGAUAUUAAUAUCAGUCCCAACAAGAAAAUUUCACAGAUUUUAGUUUUAGGAGAAUUAUAUUGAGUGCCUCAAAUUCCUUCCUGAGAAUUCUGUUGGACCACAUUUGAUGGCUGUCAGCGUCUUCGCUUUGAGGCUAGUAAGAUUGUUUGGAAUGUUUUCCCUACCCAAUUAUUUUUCCCUGAAGUGUCGAUAAAAUAGAUUACUACUCAAUGUUCAUUGAUCUUAAAACAUGGAUAUGCACAUAUAAAUUAUUUUAAAAGGGA